ACGAGGAAUGUGAACUAUGGAUGGAUGGUUCGAUGCACUUUGUGAUUGAGAUGACAGAAGAGAGAGAGCACAACCAGAGUCCGGAAUUCCAGAAAGUCCUUGGAUGGUUGAUGCUGCAUCAUAAACUCCAAAGUCUUCGCUUGAUAAGGUAGUUUGGUGGAACAAAGGAUGUGUAUCAAUAUGGGGACCUCCCACAUUAUGUGAAUAUUGGCAAGUUGUCUCACUUAGCAUGUUUACUGUAGGUGCUGUACUAGUUCCAUUUUCUUGGAAAGGAGGAAUCUGCACUUCGAAAUCAUAGGGAAGCAAGGGAGAUUUCACAUUCAGAUGCCUGUUGCUCAGUGAAGUUGCAGAUAUAGAAUUAUAAUCACUCUUCCCCUCAACUUUUACACG
Molecule: long non-coding RNA, 390 nt
Filed under: Cucumis sativus (cucumber)
Lineage: Eukaryota; Viridiplantae; Streptophyta; Magnoliopsida; Cucurbitales; Cucurbitaceae
Description: long non-coding RNA (CSAT_LNC000068)
Source: RNAcentral